GGCCCCAGACUUCUUACGAGAGGCAGCAGUGGAGAAAUAUUGGACAAUGGGCGCAAGCUGAUCCCAGCCAUGCCGCUGAGUGAUGAGCUUAGGUGUAAGCUCUUUGUCCGGACGAUAUGACGUACUGAGAUAGCCCGCUACUUCGUGCCAGCAGCGCGUAUACGAAGGGGCUAGCGUGCUCGAAUCACUGGCGUAAAGGGCGCGUAGGCGGCCAUUCAAGUCGGGGUGAAAGCCUGUGGCUCAUCACAGGAUUGCCUUCGAUACUGUUGGCUUGAGUAUGGCAGAGGUCAGUGGAACUGCGAGUGUAGAGGUGAAAUUCGUAGAUAUUCGCAAGAACACCAGUGGCGAAGGCGGCUGACUGGGCCAUUACUGACGCUGAGGCGCGAAAGCGUGGGGAGCAAACAGGAUUAGAUACCUGGUAGUGCACGCCGUAAACGAUGAAUGCUAGCUGUCCGGACACUUGGUGUUUGGGUGGCGCAGCUAACGCAUUAAGUUAUCCGCCUGGGGAGUACGGCCGCAAGGUUAAAACUCAAAUGAAUUGACGGGGGCCUGCACAAGCGGUGGAGCAUGUGGUUUAAUUCGAAGCAACGCGCAGAACCUUACCAGCGUUUGACAUGGCAGGACGACUUCCAGAGAUGGAUUUCUUCCCUUCGGGGACCUGCACACAGGUGCUGCAUGGCUGUCGUCAGCUCGUGUCGUGAGAUGUUGGGUUAAGUCCCGCAACGAGCGCAACCCUCGCCUUUAGUUGCCAUCAUUCAGUUGGGCACUUUAAAGGAACCGCCGGUGAUAAGCCGGAGGAAGGUGGGGAUGACGUCAAGUCCUCAUGGCCCUUACGCGCUGGGCUACACACGUGCUACAAUGGCGGUGACAGUGGGCAGCAAGCACGCGAGUGUGAGCUAAUCUCCAAAAGCCGUCUCAGUUCGGAUUGUUCUCUGCAACUCGAGAGCAUGAAGGCGGAAUCGCUAGUAAUCGCGGAUCAGCAUGCCGCGGUGAAUACGUUCCCAGGCCUUGUACACACCGCCCGUCACACCAUGGGAGUUGGAUUCACCCGAAGGCGUUGCGCUAACUCGCAAGAGAGGCAGGCGACCACGGGGGGUUAGGCGACGGU
This 1108-nucleotide ribosomal RNA is filed under the name uncultured bacterium. RNAcentral's name for it is "bacterial SSU rRNA". It matches the Rfam family "Bacterial small subunit ribosomal RNA", at positions 327 to 1478 of the family's 1533-position model. The record is from RNAcentral.